CGGGACGGGUGAGUAAUGUCUGGGAAAACUGCCUGAUGGAGGGGGGUAACUACUGGAAACGGUAGCUAAUACCGCAUAACGUCGCAAGACCAAAGAGGGGGACCUUCGGGCCUCUUGCCAUCGGAUGUGCCCAGAUGGGAUUAGCUAGUAGGUGGGGUAACGGCUCACCUAGGCGACGAUCCCUAGCUGGUCUGAGAGGAUGACCAGCCACACUGGAACUGAGACACGGUCCAG
Molecule: ribosomal RNA, 234 nt
Filed under: uncultured bacterium
Lineage: Bacteria
Description: partial 16S ribosomal RNA
Rfam family: Bacterial small subunit ribosomal RNA
Source: RNAcentral